GCAGCUCACUGAGAGCAGUUGGGGGGGGAAAAUUUGUAUGGAAAACAAACUAAGAUGUCUUCUCAACAUAAAAUGAAUUACUUCCAAUCAUUGAUAUAAAGACGAGAUGGUAGUCAGCUGGGUACUGACUGGAAAAGGACUGGAUUGUUGUCGAAAGCUACAAGGGAUUUGAGGUUAAAACACAUGAUUAAAGAGGUCAUAGUGAGCAUCUUGGCAGCUUUAAGGACUUAAUAGACUGCAGGCUGAAUGCUGAAUGAUAUAUGACAAGAGCAGGCAGAGUCGGCAAGAUCAGCAGAAUGGGAAGAGAGCAGGCGGCGUUCACAGAAAAGGCAAUGAUCUUUUUUUUUCCUAGGAGAAGAAAAUCACGACUCUGGAUAUGAGGUUGAAAGGAUAUAUUUAAAAAAAAGGGACUGUGUAAAAAGGCAAAUUAUCUUUCACAUCAUGACAUAGCACUUCCAGCAGAGCUUGUUCUGCUGCAGAAAAUCAUUGGAUCUGUGUAUCUUCUGGGUGAGCUGGGCUGGAACAAGGGGUUGGCAGUUGAGGCAUCUGUCUAUGGCACAACUAUUUUUGGGGAAGGGGGUGAGCAUAAUUACAGAAAAUGUUUAUUACAGUUUUAUUGCCCAAAUCAAAUGAACUGUCAGUUAGCCCAAUUGUAGGUAUUGGCAGUAACUGGGCAAACACCUUACGGAGCCAUAAGAAAUUUACAGCAUUUCUAUUCCUCAGCUCAAGCAGGGAAAUAUAAUAAGGCAGGCAGAAAGAAACAUCAAAAGGGAUCUGUUUGUGUGCGAGCAAGCAGAACCCCACAACCACCUUCUGUGGGAUUCCAUGAGAAAUAACAUUUCAAUUGAAAUAUCCCUUAGAAACAUUUGUUUCAAUAUAAAGUU
Xenopus laevis (African clawed frog) is the source of this 884-nucleotide long non-coding RNA. RefSeq lists it as uncharacterized. The record is from RefSeq and is a predicted model, not a curated record. The transcript has 4 exons. NCBI's taxonomy places the organism in Eukaryota, Metazoa, Chordata, Amphibia, Anura, Pipidae.